UGGCUCAGUUGGUAAAGAAUCUGUCUGCAGUGCAGGAGACCCAGGUUCAAUUCCUGG
This 57-nucleotide transfer RNA is filed under the name Bos taurus (domestic cattle). It matches the Rfam family "tRNA", at positions 8 to 63 of the family's 71-position model. Rfam says of the family: Transfer RNA (tRNA) molecules are approximately 80 nucleotides in length. Their secondary structure includes four short double-helical elements and three loops (D, anti-codon, and T loops). The record is from Rfam by way of RNAcentral. Lineage: Eukaryota; Metazoa; Chordata; Mammalia; Artiodactyla; Bovidae. RNAcentral also lists the same sequence under 5 other names.